GGAGUAAAAGUCGUAACAAGGUCUCCGUUGGUGAACCAGCGGAGGGAUCAUUACUGAGUUACCGCUCUACAACCCUUUGUGAACAUACCUAACUGUUGCUUCGGCGGGCAGAGGUCCCUCGCGGAUCUCUCCCGGCAACGCCCUCACGGGCGGAGCGCCCGCCGGAGGAUACCAAACUCUAUUUUAACGACGUUUCUUCUGAGUGGCACAAGCAAAUAAUUAAAACUUUUAACAACGGAUCUCUUGGUUCUG
RNAcentral lists this unclassified non-coding RNA (252 nucleotides) under plant metagenome. RNAcentral's name for it is "partial contains small subunit ribosomal RNA, internal transcribed spacer 1, and 5.8S ribosomal RNA". The stretch from base 1 to 53 matches the Rfam family "Eukaryotic small subunit ribosomal RNA", at positions 1779 to 1831 of the family's 1831-position model. The record is from RNAcentral.